Molecule: ribosomal RNA, 278 nt
Filed under: uncultured bacterium
Lineage: Bacteria
Description: partial 16S ribosomal RNA
Rfam family: Bacterial small subunit ribosomal RNA
Source: RNAcentral
UUGCUAAGGCCGAUGGCGACCGGCGCACGGGUGAGUAACACGUAUCCAACCUGCCGAUAACUCGGGGAUAGCCUUUCGAAAGAAAGAUUAAUACCCGAUGGCAUAAUAGAACCGCAUGGUUUGAUUAUUAAAGAAUUUCGGUUAUCGAUGGGGAUGCGUUCCAUUAGGCAGUUGGUGGGGUAACGGCCCACCAAACCUUCGAUGGAUAGGGGUUCUGAGAGGAAGGUCCCCCACAUUGGAACUGAGACACGGUCCAAACUCCUACGGGAGGCAGCAUG